AUCUCUUUGCCUCUGCAAAUAACUCCCAGUGACCCGAGCAUUGAGUCUGGGAGUAUCAAAAAGCCACUCUGUAAAGAACGCUAACUUUCUGUCCUAAAUUGCCUUGCACUACUGUGUACAACUAGGGAAUAGUCAAAACAGAUUUCUUUGCCAUGGUGCAGGAGGAACUGAUCUCUGUGUGGCAGCUCCAGUUGAUAAUAUAGGUGUUUGGUGGAGUUGGAGGUGCCCUAUCGGAUGUGCUUGAGCUCCCAGCCUUGGUACAAAGAAGAUCAAAGAAGGACAGUGAGAAUCGCAGCAUAGUGGUAAAAACUGAGCAAACUCUUGAUAAAAACAUGUGAAACCAGCAGGCUGGUGGUCUCCUAGCAUGGACCCUGUUUAGCAGUUCCUGUGUUCCCUCUUGUGUGCCUGUGCUCGUGUAUCUCUGCUUGGUGCUGCUUCGAGGAUCCCCUGGUUGGCGAGGUAAUGAGAAUAAAUCUACUUUUUGCAUUUUAGCUGCAAGUCUGUGGUUGUUCCUGUUGCCUGCCUGUGCUGACUCUCACACUUAGUAAUCCUAAAGCACUACUGAGAUGGAUGCUUCUGAGAUGUGGAAGGAGGAACCAUUCUGAAGGGCUGAUGCUUCUUCAACUAGCACAGAAGCUGAGCCCCAUGAACAGUGCAGCUGAUAUCUGGAGGAAACUGGAGGUGUAGAAGACAUAGUGGAAAUCAUUAGUUAUGUCCACCAGGAGACCUGAAAUGGAAACCACAGCUUA
Molecule: long non-coding RNA, 749 nt
Organism: Cygnus atratus (black swan)
Lineage: Eukaryota; Metazoa; Chordata; Aves; Anseriformes; Anatidae
Exons: 3
Source: RefSeq, a predicted model, not a curated record